Molecule: long non-coding RNA, 214 nt
Organism: Camarhynchus parvulus
Lineage: Eukaryota; Metazoa; Chordata; Aves; Passeriformes; Thraupidae
Exons: 3
Source: RefSeq, a predicted model, not a curated record
UGCCUUUCAGUGCUUUGGGUCUUGAUCAAUUGGAGAGGAGCCCAAGAGCCAUUUUUCAUCCUGAGAUACAAAAGGGAUCGGUGAAUUUUAAAUUUGGAGUCCUCUAUGCUAAGGAUGGUCAGCUUACAGAUGAUGAAAUAUUCAGUAAUGGGAAAGACUCUCGUGUCCUGGUCGUCAGGCUCAGUGCUGCCCGAAAAGAUACAGAGACUAAAAA